Molecule: ribosomal RNA, 496 nt
Filed under: uncultured bacterium
Lineage: Bacteria
Description: partial 16S ribosomal RNA
Rfam family: Bacterial small subunit ribosomal RNA
Source: RNAcentral
GAUGAACGCUGGCGGCGUGCCUAAUACAUGCAAGUCGAGCGAACGGGCGAGAAGCUUGCUUCUCUGAUGUUAGCGGCGGACGGGUGAGUAACACGUGGAUAACCUACCUAUAAGACUGGGAUAACUUCGGGAAACCGGAGCCAAUACCGGAUAAUAUUUUGAACCGCAUGGUUCAAAAGUGAAAGACGGUCUUGCUGUCACUUAUAGAUGGAUCCGCGCUGCAUUAGCUAGUUGGUAAGGUAACGGCUUACCAAGGCAACGAUGCAUAGCCGACCUGAGAGGGUGAUCGGCCACACUGGAACUGAGACACGGUCCAGACUCCUACGGGAGGCAGCAGUAGGGAAUCUUCCGCAAUGGGCGAAAGCCUGACGGAGCAACGCCGCGUGAGUGAUGAAGGUCUUCGGAUCGUAAAACUCUGUUAUUAGGGAAGAACAUAUGUGUAAGUAACUGUGCACAUCUUGACGGUACCUAAUCAGAAAGCCACGGCUAACUACGU